GAUGAACGCUAGCGGCAGGCUUAACACAUGCAAGUCGAGGGGUAUAUUUCUUCGGAGAUAGAGACCGGCGCACGGGUGCGUAACGCGUAUGCAAUCUACCUUUUACAGAGGGAUAGCCCAGAGAAAUUUGGAUUAAUACCUCAUAGUAUAUAGAGUUGGCAUCAACACUAUAUUAAAGUUACAACGGUAAAGAUGAGCAUGCGUCCCAUUAGCUAGUUGGUAAGGUAACGGCUUACCAAGGCUACGAUGGGUAGGGGUCCUGAGAGGGAGAUCCCCCACACUGGUACUGAGACACGGACCAGACUCCUACGGGAGGCAGCAGUGAGGAAUAUUGGACAAUGGGCGCAAGCCUGAUCCAGCCAUGCCGCGUGCAGGAUGACGGUCC
RNAcentral lists this ribosomal RNA (385 nucleotides) under uncultured bacterium. RNAcentral's name for it is "bacterial SSU rRNA". It matches the Rfam family "Bacterial small subunit ribosomal RNA", at positions 28 to 417 of the family's 1533-position model. The record is from RNAcentral.